Molecule: long non-coding RNA, 13497 nt
Organism: Peromyscus californicus insignis
Lineage: Eukaryota; Metazoa; Chordata; Mammalia; Rodentia; Cricetidae
Exons: 11
Source: RefSeq, a predicted model, not a curated record
AUGGCUCUUGGCCCAAGAUGGAGAGUCUAACAAAGGUAAGAGAGUAAUUGGAGGUUCAUUCUUAGUUAUACAUUGUACUUAGCCAUGGUUAUUGGGUCUUAAUGAAUCCCAGAGUCCUAUUAUAGGCUAUGAUAGAGACAAGGAGUUAAAUAAAUCUGGUCUUAUUGCUGGCAAAAUUUCUAAGCAGGGAGAAGUAGCACACACUACCAGCACCUUGGGAACAGUGGAAUGGGAGAAACAACAGGACAAAUGAAAUCUAGACAAUAUAAAGGAUGAGACGAAAAGUUGGUACUGGAUAGGCUAGGGACUAGGCAGGCUUUGCAGAAGCAAUAAUGCCCAAAUUCAGUUUUGAAUGAGAGGUAUGGGAGGAGAUAAUAGUAUAGGAGAAGGUCAUAGGUCAAAUGCAAACUCAAGGAAUCAUAGGCCAAGAAAAUUGAUUUGAGCAAUUUUAAUCUCUUUCAGCAUGGAUGAAGUAUAGUGUGUGAAGAACAUGAAAAUAAGACUAUAGCAGUGGUUCUCAACCUGUGGGUCACAACCCUUUGCGGGCAUAUCAGAUAUCCUGUAUAUCAGCCUUGGUUGCCUUAAGGUGGAUUUGAGAGCAGGUUGGUCCAUAGGUGGCCAGGAUGGGGCAGCGUCCAAUACCAAAUAGAAACUGCUGCUCAGGGAUCCUGAGCAUCAUUGACAUGCCUCUGGGAAUGGCAGAAUGACACCUGACAAUCAACCUUUGAUCCACACUUGAAGCCACUGUCUUCCCAAGACUAUUAUCCUCAGCAAGGUGGGAUGGCACACACCUUUAAUCCCAGCACUUGGGAGGCAGAGGCAUGCCCAUCUCUGUGAGUUCAAGACCAGCCUGAUCUACAAAGUGGGUUCCAGGACAGCCAGGGUGACACAGAGAAACCCUCUCAAAACACAAAACAAACAAACAAACAAAAGACUCUUAUCCUGAACCAAAUGAAACUUUGGCCUGCUAAUGCAAACAGAUCCCAUUCGCCAGAGCUCCUGAGGAUGGAUAGUCCUGCUGUGUCCUGAGAAUGUUCUACCAACGAGGGAGAAGGAGCCUGAAGCCAGCUGUCAACUUAAGGAGAUCCAGGAAACAGGAAAGCGCAGGCAUGCACCCAACAGGCUGUGUACCACCAGGAAAGGACUGGGAGAAUAAAACCCACCCAGACUGGCAUACCUCCAGUAGUGAAGAGGAAGAAUGUUAAGUGACCUCGCGGGAGAACUGGAGCUUCCCAGGUUAUUGGGAAGGAUGCAUUGCUGAUACUUAAUCAAGGCCUGAGACCUUUCAGUGCACAGAUCCUGCUCAGGAAGGCUUCUUCAUACCUACGAAGUUUCUGAGGUUUAGACUCUGAUAUCAAUCCAGUGCCUCUGGGCUCCAGGCUGCCUCUCGGACCCUCUUUGGCAGCAAUACCUGUCCUUCCCAAGGACAGACAGACGGCAAGGACACCCAGAAGAAGGAAGCAGCUGGCAACUGAUCAACAGCACGUACAUUGUUAACCGAGUGGAUCAUAAUGCUCCCUUUUGGAAAGCAAGAACACGGUGGACAGAGUCAUGGUAACCUACAGUCAGGGCCAGGCAUGCAAUAGAGAAACAGAAGAUACAAGUACCAAGUCAGAGCCCUGUGGGGAUGUGAGACUUAGAGACAGCUCCAUUGUGGUGGACACAUCAGAGAUCAAGCACACAGUGGGUCUAUUGUGGAUGCCAUCAACCCCAGACAACAGGAAGCAGUCUAGAAAACACAAUGCCCACAUUCCCAAGAUGGGGAGGUGCCACUUUGCUAUGCAAUAAAGGCAGAGCUACCGAAAAGCAUCGUAGGUUCCUGGGGCUCAGCUACGUCCCAAUGUGAAUUAUUAAUAAACAAAAAGGAAAGAAGCUGUAUUUUCUUUCAGCCUCUUAGCACUGAACAACAAAGAGGAAGGUAGGCUAUUACCUGCUCCUGGAUGCCAAACACAAUGUCCCUGCCUGGGCUGAAUCACUCACAAGAGCUGGGAAGCAGAGCUGUUACUAAGACAACAGAUCACGGAUCCAUCUCCUCUGUGAGGCCCCUUUUCUUCCUCUUCUCUCAUAUCAAGUAAAAAAGGGAGAACUCUGGGAUAAAAAUACUGGCAGUGAACAAUGAUACAAUGAAAUGAUGCUUUUCUACAUUUCAGUAAUGGAGGGAUUACUUUAGAAUAACAUUUAUAUAGAAAAAAACUUUAAAAUUAAUUUUUCUUUAUAAAACAUAUGAUAAUUGAUGUAUACUUCCAUGAUAGCGAAUAUAAUAUAAAAUCAGACAAUGUCAAAAAUAAUGACAAUAUAAAUGGAGAGAGUGCUUUGAUCUAUCAAAAUCUCCCAUAGGGCAUCGUGGGAAAGUGAUGUCUGAGCCCCAUCCUCCGAGAUACCUAUUAAGUGCAUAUGGGAUGUGCAAUAAGCACCAGUUUAAAAUUCUGUGUGUGGAAAGCCAAAAUGACAGUUAGCGUCUAGAAGAAAAACCAGCCUUUAAGAAUGUUGUGGGGUAUCCACCAGAGAAGCUGCUCGGACAUGAGUUUAAGUCAAUAGAAAGUCUAUUAUCUGGUCUGUGACUACACUGAGGUUCAGGAUCCCAGUGCACCCCAAACCUUUUUCAGGGGGAGCUUUAAAGCACAAAAACCAUGUUCUAGGUUGACAUACUUCAGUUAACAAGAACAGUUAGCCAGAAACAGAACCACAGAAGCUAAAAAGCAAGGUUAGUACAUUUAGAGACUUUCCCAGAACUAUAGACUUUGAUGGAUUAGGUCUUUGUUUUAGUUUGGCAAGUGGUGCUGUCUAUGUGCUGAGUCAGUUUUGCUAAAGUCUGGGGGCCUGUUAUAAAGAAGAUGAAUUAUAUCUGACUUAUAUUAAGUAUCAGGUUAGGUAGGGCAUAGUGGUACACACCUUUAAUCCCAGCACUCACAAGGCAGAGAAGCAGGUGUAGGUUCAAGGCCAGCCUGGUCUAUGUGGUGAGUUCCAUGUCACCCAGGGCUGGAGAGUGAGAUUCUAUCUCAAAUAAAUAAAUACAUAUUAGGUUAGGCACACUUGAGAACAAUUCCCAGUCUGUUCCCCCUCCCCCAAUUAUAUUGAACUUGAUGCCCUCUAAGUCUCUAAAACCCAAGAUCUGGAAAAUACAAAUUCAUUAGGAAUGAAAUGUGACACUUUCUUAUGUAGACCUCUUGUACCUGGGUAAUUUCAAGGUUUGUCACACAUUGAAUAGAUAGUUGUGUUCAACCUAAAACACCAAUUAGCCUGGAAAUUAAAGCUCCAAAUUAUAUUACAUGAUUAAGAUGAAUUACUAUUUAUGCUAAUGCUUAUUAAUUCUCUUUUUUGUUUUGAGAUGGAGAUCUGGCUGUGUAGCCCAAGUGGCCUGUAUUAGUCAGGGUUCUCUAGAAUAACAGAACUAAUAUGUGUGUGUGUGUGUGUGUGUGUGUGUGUGUGUGUGUAUGUAUACACACACAUAUAUUCAUUGUGUAUGUGAUUUCUUAUAGUGGUUUACAACCUAUGGUCUGAUUAUUCCAAUAAUGGCUGUCUCCUGGUAGAAAGUUCUAGAAUAAAUGUCUUAGCUGGUCUUUGUUGGGGGUAGCCAUCAGAGAAGACUGCUUGGACGUGGGUUUAAGCCAAUAGAAAAUCUCUUAGCCAGCCUGCGACUACAUAGAGUGUUUGGGAUCCCAACCCCAACCCUAUCUCAGGGUGAAAUUUUAAGCAGAAAGGCCAUGUCCUGGAUUGACAUACUUCAGGUAAUAAGAACAGCUAGCCAGAAGCAGAACCACAGAAGCUAAAAAGCAAGGUUAGUAUAUUUAGAGACUUUCCCAGAACUAUGGACUUUGAUGGAUUAGGUCUUUGUUUUAGUUUUGGCAGGUGGUGCUGUCUAUGUGUUGAGUGUUACAGCCUAAAUGUCACUUUUAUCAUGGAGUCAGUUGUGCUAAGGUUGGUGGGGGGGGUUGCUUAUCAAGGUCUGGGGCCCUGUUACAUUCCCUACUGGUCUUAGUGAAUGAGUCAAAUUGUGGACUCAUCCUGCUCUGAAGAGGUGGAGUUGGUACUAAGAGCAAUUAAUUUUAUUUAAUAUAUAAUUGGCCAUAUAGUUUAAGAUGCAGGACCCACUUUUAAUCCAAUCAGAAUGAGAAUUAAAGGCCUUGCCAGUGCUGAUAGCAGAGUAGUUAGUCAGGGGACCAAGAGAAUACAGACUGGUACCAAUUACAUAAUUAAUUUCUGUGGUAGUUUGAAAGAUGGCCCCCAAAGGGAAUGGCACUAUUAGGAGGUGUGGCCUUGUAUGAGGAUGUGUGUCUUUGUGAGAGUGGGAGUGGGCUUUGAGGUCUCCUAUGCUUAAUUAAGCUACACCCAGUAUUACAAUUCACUUCCUCUUGCGAGCCAAUCAAGAUGUAGAACUCUCAGCUUCUCCAGCAUCGUGUCUGCCUGCAUGCCGCCCACUAUGAUGAUAAUAGGCUAAACCUCUGAACUGUAAGGUAGCCUCAGUUAAAUGUUUUCAUUUAUAAGAGUUGGUGUCAUCAUAGUGUCUCUUCACAGUAAUAGAAAGAAACCCUAACUAAGGCAAUGUCUUUUUUAGUUUUUUCCAACCAUGGCAAGAUUUUUCUAAUUACUCCUGAUUGAUUGGCAUAGAAACAACAGGUUUUCCCCAAAGCCAUGUAUAGUCCCCCUUCUCUCAUGAGAAGUACGUUUAAACCUCUCUUAUUUGUAGGGCCAUUCUGUAAUUAAAUCUAAUUGUUAGUUUAGAAAUGAUAACUUUUAAUAUUUCUAUGUAUGAUCAUCAACCUGUCUGCUUAGUUUAGAAAGUAUCAGAAGAGGCACAUUUAGUCAAACCAUUAGUAUAUGCCACCAAGUAGUCUCAGGGGCUCGGUGAUACUGCUGUUGUCCAGAUGAAUUAAUCUGUAAGUCAGAAUAGCAGACACUGGAAUAAGGGGAAGUGCCUGUGUUAAAGGUUUUGGAGAUUAGACAAGUUUCAUCCCCUUGUAAGUCCUCUCACAUUAAUUUGGGCUGCCCCCAGUCAUGAUGAGUUUUGUCAGUCAAUGGGCUGACAGUCUGGUUAGUUCCUAUCAUGUGUAGUACGGGAGGGCCAGGUCUUGGUUGAAGUCAGUUUUCCCAGAGUUCACCAGGGUGUUAGUCUCUCAUUUGUACCCCUUCCUGGGUAACGUCUCUGGUUUGGAUUCACUUGAGCACAAACCUGGCAUCUGGCUGAGACGUCCCACAAUAGCUUGUCCGAUCUAGGUAUAACAUACCUUGGUCUGAUCAACUCACAAAGUUUUGUGGACUCCAGAUGAGUAGCCUGGUGAAGGUCAGUUACCAGAGUCCUGUCACUUGUUUCUGAGAGAAUGAUCUUUCCCUCUGGUGUCAUCCAUCAUCCUGUGUGUGGGUUUGAGCUGUCUGUUUUUUCUUUAACAUAGAGUCUCAGGCAGCAUGGAGUCAGGGGUAUGUCAUCAGAAUAUCAGUAGUUUACUGGACAACCAGGUCAGUGGCGGGUAUGGAGGACAGCAAUUUGGGGAAAGCCAAAUAGCCUCUAGGAGGGCCAAGAUUUUCUAGUGUUCUUUUUCCCAGCAGUGAGAAACCUUCCUUCUCUAUAGAUCAUAUGGACAUGCAUGGUAGUAAAAGCAUAGUGUUGGUCCAUGUAUAUGGUGGUGGACUUCCCUUUUCCCCAACUGAAAGCCUGGGUCAGAUCAAUCAAUUCUCUUUGCACUGUGGUACCUGGCUUGGGCCCAAAUCAAUUCAGUUAAAGUAACUGCUGCAGCCUCUAUGUACCUCGUUUCAUCUUUCACCUCAUGACAGUUAGUGAUGAGCACCUGAAGGUUGUCAUCAGGCAAGAGGGCAACAGGAUUGGUGGAGGUGGGUUUCUCAAACCAGACUCGAGGGUGGUCCAGGAGUAGGGCCUGGUACUGCGUCACAGUCAUUAGACAGACAGACAGCAUUGGUGCUCCUCAGAGGAGGGCCUCAAUUGCAUGGGGUGCUGCGUGUAUAGGAUCUUGACUCAGAGUUAGCUUGUUUUUGUUUGCUUGCAUUUUCAUCAGACUAGCAGUAGCUGCCACAUCUCUUAGGCAGGUGGGCCAUCUGGUGGCUACAGGGUCCAAUUGUUUGGACAGGUAUAUCACAGGGCGUUUCCAUGGCCCCAAAGUUUGGGUUAAAAUUCCUUUUGUAAUGUCUUUCGUUUCAUGGGCAAACCAAUACAAAAGUUUUGAUUCAUCUGGAAAUUCUAGGAUUGGUGCAGAAGUCAGAGCUUCUUUUAAAGCCUCAAAUGCCUUUGUUUAGUCUCAGUCCAGAUCAGGGGCUUAGUGUCUCCCUCUGUGCUGGUGUAUAGAGAGAGGCCUUGCUGUUCCCACAAACUCUGGUACCCAGAGCCAGCAAUAUCCAGCUGCACCUAGGAACUCUGGAACCUGUCUCUUAGUCUUUGGAGUUGGGAUCUGAGGAUGGCAGCAACCCUACCCUGAGACAGGCUCCUUUUGUCUCCCUUCAGCUGGUAGCCAAGAUAGGUAGCCGCCUACAAAGUUGGGCUUUCUUAGCUGACAUUCUGUAAUUCAAGGUCUAUAACUCAUGCAGCAGUCCCUCAGUGGUCCUUUUAUAAUCUAGUUUUCCAGGAAACCUCUGACAGAAGUGCAGGAAGUCUGCAUUUUGUGUCUUUAAAUCCUGGGACAACCUGGUCAAGGUAUGUUGUCCACAGUAACCUCCCUCUGGGUCUGUCCAUUUAAAGUCAAAGAUGGGUUGACUCACCUCUGCCAAUGGGAGGCUGAAGAAUGCAUCUUUCAGGUCCAAGACAGUGUACACCUGUUUCUCUGGAAGAAUCAAACUCAUGAGAAUCAGAGAUCCCAGGUCUUUUCACAGGUGGGAGAGGUGUAUUCCAGGGUGACUGACAGGGCACCAGGAUGCCUGUCUCUUCAAGCCAGGCAACAUGGACUGCAAUUUCCCUUUUGUGUCCAGGGCCAUUGGGUACUAUGUAAUCUGGACGGGUAGCUGAACUGGUUAGUUGAACAAUUAGAAGAACUUGGUAUUGGGCCAGUCCUGGAGUUGGUUUUUGCCCACACCCCAGCAAUCUUAAUUGUCAAUCUGAGAGACAGUCCAACUGUAUCUUUUGAUUGGAGGCAGAACUUCCUGCUACGUGAUAACCUGUAGCGAGUCUUUCUCUGUACCACCAGCCAGCUCCCAAAUCACUACAUCGAGACUUAUUAUUAAAUAUGAAAGCUUGGCUGAGCCGGACGGUGAUGGCACACACCUUUAAUCCCAGCACUCGGGAGGCAGAGGCAGGCGGAUCUCUGUGAGUUCAAGGCCAGCGGGGUCUACAGAGCGAGAUCCAGGACAGGCACAAAAAAACUACACAGAGAAACUCUGUCUCCAAAAAAAAAAAGCUCAGCUGAUAUAUUAAGCUUGUUUCUAACUAGUGCUUAAAACUUAAAUUAACCCAUUUCUAUUCAUUUACUUUCUGCCCCAUGGCUUUAUUACCUCAUCUCUGUAGUGCCCGUCCUGCUUGCUCUGCAUCUCCUGGUGUCUUCUGUUCUUCUUCUCAGCCUACUCUCUGCCCCAAAAAUCCUGCUUCAGCUUUUUAUUAAACCAAUCCAAGUGACACAUCUUGACAGUGUACAAAAAGAAUAUGCCACAACAGAUAUUCGUCUGACAGAAGGAAUGUUGUCACCAAAAUUUUGCUGGGUAUCUGUAAGUCUAACUGCAGCUCUUCAUCAGAAUGUGAAGUGGUUUCAGUUAGGCAAAAUGCCUUGUCCCAAUCAGUUCUCUGUUGUUAAACACGCUUUACGCUAUCUCAGGCAACUGGGACCUACAUACACAUUUAAAAUUUUAAACAUUAUAACUGUUUUAAUAUCUGGGGCCCAGCUGGGUGACAAAGGAAAUCUUUUUAGCAGUUGUCUUUAAUCCUUCUUAAAAGGACCUAGCAAAAGUUGUCUCCUUGGUCUGUAUUGGACAGAAGACAAAUCUGUUCCAUCCAGGCUGCAUUGUCUGGCAGUGAUCCCCCUGCCUGGCCUGGGGAUAGUUUCUCUUUUUUUCUUUUUUCAGAGAAUGAUGGGUUUUGAAUUUUUCAAUUAUCCAAAUUACUGGUUGAAAUGGAGAUAUAAAACAUGAAAGAGGAAGGAGUGAAACUUUCUUUUUUCCUUUGGGCUCAGCCCAGGGGUACUGUUACCCCACCUUGGGGCUUCUUAGGAGGGUAUGUGUAUCUUAGGGAUCUAUUUCCCCCUCCCUGUGUGCAUUCUGCUUAGAUGUCAGGGUACCCUCAGAAUGACAGGCCUGACCCUUCUUCACUUCCAUCUGGGGACCAGGACCAACCCUGACUAUGAGCAAGAGUCAAGUGAUGAAACUAGUGAGCACUCUGCAAAUGGAGCAAGCAGAGCCUUUUUCCCUUUCUGGGCAACUUGGCAGAGCCAAAAGGAUUUGAGUCCGCAACAGGAGGGAGCACAGGACUUAACGCAGGUUGAAUGGAGGAGUUUCUUACACUAGAGAAAGCCACUGGAUACAGGGAAACAGAACUGACAGAAACACAUAGAAAGAUAUGUAGUGGGUAGCUGUUCCAGCUUUGGCCUUGAAGCACUGCCCCAGUGAGGCAACAGGUAACUCCCACACCUGCCUAUGACCUGCCCCUGAGGUGUGGCCAAGAUGGGAUCCCUUAAGACCCGAGAUGCAUAUGUGCCCACUCUCUUGGCUCCUUGUGAUCCUGGAUGCUGGAUUGCAGACUAAGUCAGAGUUCUCCAGAGAACCAUGCUGGACUGCACCUCACCUCUCCUGAAUCCUGUAACUGGCCCCUUUACUAGUUGCAAGUUAUCCUGAAAUAAACCUCUUUUAACUACCAGAUAAACUACGUGGAAUUGCCUCAUUAAUUGCAACUUUAUCUGGUGCCCAACGUGGGCAGGAGGUGACAGACCAAGUAACUUUCUAAUUUAUUUUGGGGUGGAGGUGUCAGACUCCUCCAAAGCAUUAGACACCAAAUGAUCAAAGGGAAUCUUAGGGAUGUGGAACUCAGGUUGUGCACCCCUUAGGAGUCCCUAGACCAACAUAUUCUUCCCUGCGCCAAAGGGCUCUGAGACUCCCUCCCCAGUGUCUCAAGGUUUAGUCUCUGGAGAUCUCAGUGGAACCUCCAGAAAUGUUGUGGGGUAUCCUCCAGGGAAGACUGCUUGGGCAUGGGUUUAAGCUAACAGAAAGUCUUUAUUAGCUGGUCAGUGACAAAACUUUAUGUUUGGGAUCCCAGUGUAGCACUGAGCCUUUCUCAGGGUGAGCUUUUAAGCACAAAAACCAUGUUCUGGGUUGACAUACUUUAGAUAACAAGAAUAGUUUUAGUCAGAAGUGAAAUUACAGGAGCUAAAAAGCAAGGUUAGUACAUUUAGAGAUUUCUCCCAGAACUGUGGGUUUUGAUGGAUUAGGCCUUUGUUUUAGUUUUGGCAGCUAGUGCUGUCCAUUUACUUACUUUUACAGCGUGAAUGGCACUUCCAUCAUGGAGUCAGUUUUGCCAAGGUCUGGAGGCUUACUAAGGUCUGGGGCCAGUAAAGAUACCGUGAAGCCACGAGCCGUGUGGCAAGGUAGAGAUUUAUAGAAAUGGGUUAAUUUAAGAUAUAAGAACUAGAUAGCAAGAAGCCUGCCAUGGCCAUACUGUUUACAAGUAAUAUAAGUCUCUGCAUGUUUACUUGGAUCUGAGCGGCUGCAGGAGCUGGGUGGACACAGGAAAACUCCAGCUACAUAUAGAUAUGAUAGGAUGAAAGGGUAGAUUAAUGAGCCUACUUUUAUAGAACAACUUGUUUAGAAAUGUUUUACAUUGCUAUGGAUUUUAGUUUAUUGAUACAAGUUUAAACUUAAUUUUGUUAUACUGUAUAUAUAUAUAUAUAUACAUAUAUAUGUGUAUAUAUAUGUAUAUAUAUAUAUAUACACACACACUCUGGUUUGAGGUAUUAUGUUUAUGUAACUCAUUUAGAUUGUAAUGGAUAAUUAAAAAUACAGAUUAAUAAUUAGUCUUCUGUGAUAGUCAAACUUAUAGUCAUGUUAGGUUUUCUAGGUAUACAUAGAUAUAAUUCAAUUAAGUAGGUAGUUUUCAAACACUUCAAAGACCUACAGAAUACGACAUUUAAAAUGUUUUAAAAAUUUAGACUUUCUGGACAGUGAGACAUGUCUGCUCCUGGCAGUACCAAUUUACUUCAGAGAGGAGGAUGGGCAUCGAAGAUACUCUAUAUGGAGUUAAUCUUCUUCUUGGCAAAGAUAGCCAUUUGGGAAAGAAACUGUUCUUGCCUGGACUGCUUUCCCAAAGGAUGUGUCAACUGGAUAUGCAGGACCCAUAGGAAGGUAACCACUGAACUUUGCUUGGCGAAAUGGUCCUUCAGGUUCCUGCUUCACAGAGGAAACUGCCAGACAUUCUACAAGACACAGAGAAAAGUGACUGAGAGACUCUAGGCCUGUGGGCUGAACACAGAUGCCCCAACUUUACAGAGGAACUUUGGAUGACUGUCUAGGCUGCCAGCUGUCUCUGUCUACUCUUGCAAGACUCCAGAAAGUUGCUUGUGUCCUUCUCCUAUUUCUCAGGUAAUAUUAUAUCCUUCUGAGGUCUUUGAUGUAGUUGAAGACUAGAUAGUUAUAAUUUCCUUAGUUAUGAUAAAAGAUAAGUUAGAUAUAAAACCUUAGACUCACAAAUAUAGGAUAGAUAGGAUAUCUUCUUUAAUUUUGCCAAAUACAAAUAGACUAGAUAUUAUAACUAUAAUUCUUGCUUGAUAAUUGUUUUGUUAUAUGUAAUUUUACUAUGUUAAAGUUAAAACCUUCCUUUUUGAAAAAAAAAGAAAAGGGGAAGUGCUGGGGUUGUCUUUCUGUAUGCUGUGAAUGUGUUACUUUGAUUGAUUGAUAAGUAAAAGGCUGAUUGGCCAGUAGCCAGGCAUGAAGUGUAAGUAUAAGCGGGAUAAGCAGAGAGGAGAAAUCUGGGAAGUGGAAGGCUGAGUUAGGAGAUGCUGCCAGCCACCGCCGCCAUGAGAAGUAAGAUAUAAAUAUACCGGUAAGCCAUGAGCCUCAUGGCAAGGUAUAGAUUUAUAGAAAUGGGUUAAUUUAAGAUAUGAGAACUAGAUAGCAAGAAGCCUGUCACAGCCAUACAGUUUAUAAGUACUAUAAGUCUCUAUGUGUUUACUUGGUUCUGAGCGGCUGCAGGAGCUGUGUAGACACAGGAAAACUCCAGCUACAGGGACCCUGUUACAAUCUUCAGUAUAUGUCAGCAUCCUAAAGAAGUAGGCUCUAAUACAAGUGGAGAAUUGAACUUGCCAGUGAGAAUGAGGGCAAGCAAGCAAAGAGCAAAAGCUUAUUUCUUCUAUGUCCUUUCUGUAGGCUACCACCCGAAGAUGUGGCCCAGAUUUAAGAUGGGUCUUCCAACCUCAAAUGAUCCAAUCAAGAAAAACUCCUUACAGUUAUACCCAGCAGCUUAGGCUUUAGUUUAUUCCAAAUAUAGUAAAGUUGACAACCAAGAAUAGCCAUCACAAAUUCACCCCUUGUCAGCUUGACACACAAUUAUAUCUACUUAUGUUAUGCUUAUUUUCUAAGUGAAAAUAAUAACUAGGUUAUAAUUAUGCCUGAUUUGAUAUAACUGUCCCAUGUACAACUGCAAACACAUUUUAUAUUUUAGAAUGUCCCUUGAGGGACAUUCUUUUAGUAUCUCAAAGCUUAAAUAUGAUUAUGAACCACUGAUAUUCUCUUGUGUUAUAUUAUAUAAUAAAGAAACGAAAACACAAAUAACUUCACAUAUAUAUUCUUAACAAAAUAUGACAGAAACACUUGUGUCAGUUAUAAUCCUUGUUUCUGCAACUGAUCAUGUGGCCUUAGCUGAUAUUUAUAACUACCUUCCUCUACUACCCAUUCUGUAUUUCCUCCACCCUUGGCAAGUACCUCAGCAGCUCUUGGCUCUUUUCCUGGAGUGACCUAUACCUUCUUUCCUGAGGGGUCUGUAUUCUUUGUCAUCCUGCCUGGAUUAGGCUGUUGUAGUUUCCCAUUGACUUUAAUCACAGGGCAUGGUAGCACCAAGAGACUCCCUAAAAGAUCUGCUUACUCCAGACAUAAUCCUUCUUACCUCCAUUGUGAAGAGGUAGUCCUUUCUUAGCAGGUUGGCUUAAGGGCAUCAGAAGCCCGAAGUGGCCAAGAGGAAGUCUGAGCAUCCAGUUCAAUGGAAUAUUUCUGGUGGCUCCUGGUAAGAGUGCGCCCCUCUCUGGAACCAAAACUUCUAGGCCAGCAGAACUUAAGGUCAUGGGAACAGGGAACAAAAAUAUUCAUAGUGGGUCACUAUGGGUGAUCGCGAGUGGAACUGUUCCCUUUUCCACCCCUUGGUUACUAGAUCCUGGCUAUGGGAGAAAAUGUAUCAUGUAUUGGAUGGUGAUUCAAAGCAUAUACUGCCAUAUUGAGAAGCCUGCCCCAGCCCCGCCCUCCAGGCUGCUGCUACUUAAUUGGCACUGUAACUGUGUCUUCAAAGGGUCAUUCCAUCUUUCUAUCAGGCCAGCUGCUUCAGAACUACAUAGUGAACUCCAGGUCAGCCAGGGCUACAUAGUGAGAUCCUAUCUCAAAUAAAUAAAUACAUAAAUAAAUACAUAAAUAUAUGUCAUAUUAGACACAUUUGGGAUUUGGGAAACGUCUCAGGUUGAUAGAUUUCCCCCCACUCAAUUAUAUUGAAUUUAAUGUCUGCUAAGUCCCUAAAACCUAAAGUCUGGAAAAUAAAAAUUCUUUUGGAAUGAAAGUGACAUUUUCAUUUCUUAUGUAGACUCCUAGUACCUGCGUAGCUGUCAGGGUUUGUUACACAUUGAAUACACAGUUGCAUUUGACCUAAAACAUCAGUUACCCUGUAAGUUGAAGACUAAAGAUGGAUUAUGUGGUAAAGAUGAAUUAGUGUUUAUGCUAAUUCUUACUAAUUCUCUUCUGUUUUGUUUUGUUUUGUUUUGUUUUGAAAUGGAGGUCUGGCCUGAGUUUCUUGAGUGACUGAGAUUCUAGUGUACGAGCCAGAGGCGCAGGAAGUCAGCUGUGAGACUGUGCCUUCUAUAUAUGACUGGGAAGCUGCACCCAUGGACUCUCAACAAUGUGAUCACCUAAACAAGACCCGAACAAGGACAACAGCACGGACGUGCCAAUGCGGAAGGGGAAAAUCUCACAAGGCCCCAAGUUUUGAUGGAGAGCUGCAAGCAGUUUGCUGACUGCUGAGAGAGGAAUCGGCCUUUCCCAGGGAUGAGUUCCCCACCCCAGUUCCUUAUCCACUCACUAUCAAAUGGUCCUUCUUAAAAAUGUACAUUUGAGCAGCACUAAGUGAACUCACUGAUUGUAUUUAUGUAUGCAUGUGGUUAUAUGUAUAUAUGUAUUAUGUGUGUAUAUAACAAUAAUAAAGGAAAAAUAAAUAAAAUAGAAAAAUUAAAUCUCUCUGGUCACUGGUGUCUCCACCCUAAACUUUUAGAUAUUUCUUACUUGCCUCUUCCACUGCCCUCCCCUAUCCCAUCCUCCUCUUGCUGGUCCUCUUUCUCUCUCUAAAUAGUGUUCUUUCUGCUCUCAUGAUGUGUGUGUGUGUGUGUGUGU